Molecule: non-coding RNA, 69 nt
Organism: Kutzneria sp. 744
Lineage: Bacteria; Bacillati; Actinomycetota; Actinomycetes; Pseudonocardiales; Pseudonocardiaceae
Rfam family: ASpks TB sRNA
Source: Rfam
CUUGAUCGACCCCAGCCACAGCGGCUCGGAGCGAUCCUGGCCAUAGGUGGCCAGCAACGCCUGGGCCUC